UACACUCCUACGGGAGGCAGCAGUGGGGAAUAUUGCACAAUGGGCGCAAGCCUGAUGCAGCCAUGCCGCGUGUGUGAAGAAGGCCUUCGGGUUGUAAAGCACUUUCAGCGGGGAGGAAGGCAAUGCGGUUAAUAACCGUGUUGAUUGACGUUACCCGCAGAAGAAGCACCGGCUAACUCCGUGCCAGCAGCCGCGGUAAUACGGAGGGUGCAAGCGUUAAUCGGAAUUACUGGGCGUAAAGCGCACGCAGGCGGUCUGUCAAGUCGGAUGUGAAAUCCCCGGGCUCAACCUGGGAACUGCAUUCGAAACUGGCAGGCUUGAGUCUUGUAGAGGGGGGUAGAAUUCCAGGUGUAGCGGUGAAAUGCGUAGAGAUCUGGAGGAAUACCGGUGGCGAAGGCGGCCCCCUGGACAAAGACUGACGCUCAGGUGCGAAAGCGUGGGGAGCAAACAGGAUUAGAUACCCCUGUAGUCCCAUG
Molecule: ribosomal RNA, 476 nt
Filed under: uncultured organism
Description: partial 16S ribosomal RNA
Rfam family: Bacterial small subunit ribosomal RNA
Source: RNAcentral